RNAcentral lists this ribosomal RNA (423 nucleotides) under uncultured bacterium. Its description in RNAcentral is "partial 16S ribosomal RNA". It matches the Rfam family "Bacterial small subunit ribosomal RNA", at positions 355 to 788 of the family's 1533-position model. The record is from RNAcentral.
UGGGGAAUAUUGCACAAUGGGCGAAAGCCUGAUGCAGCAACGCCGCGUGAGGGACGACGGCCUUCGGGUUGUAAACCUCUUUUAGCAAGGAAGAAGCGAAAGUGACGGUACUUGCAGAAAAAGCGCCGGCUAACUACGUGCCAGCAGCCGCGGUAAUACGUAGGGCGCAAGCGUUAUCCGGAAUUAUUGGGCGUAAAGAGCUCGUAGGCGGUUUGUCGCGUCUGCUGUGAAAACCCGAGGCUCAACCUCGGGCCUGCAGUGGGUACGGGCAGACUAGAGUGCGGUAGGGGAGAUUGGAACUCCUGGUGUAGCGGUGGAAUGCGCAGAUAUCAGGAAGAACACCGAUGGCGAAGGCAGAUCUCUGGGCCGUAACUGACGCUGAGGAGCGAAACGGGUGGGGAGCAAACAGGCUUAGAUGACCCU